GAUGAACGCUGGCGGCGUGCCUAAUACAUGCAAGUCGAACGAGGUGCCUUUGUAGCAAUACGAGGGUAUCCUAGUGGCGAACGGGUGAGUAACGCGUUGGUGACCUGCCCCAAAGUGUGGGAUAACAGUCCGAAAGGACUGCUAAUACCGCAUGUGGUCAUCGGGUUUAGAAACCGAUGUCUAAAGCAGCAAUGCGCUUUGGGAGGGGCCUGCGUCCCAUCAGCUAGUUGGUGAGGUAACGGCUCACCAAGGCGACGACGGGUAGGGGACCUGAGAGGGUGGCCCCCCACAAUGGAACUGAAACACGGUCCAUACACCUACGGGUGGCAGCAGUAGGGAAUAUUGCACAAUGGGCGAAAGCCUGAUGCAGCAACGCCGCGUGCACGAAGAAGGUCCUCGGAUCGUAAAGUGCUUUUCUGGGAGAUGAGAAAGGACAGUAUCCCAGGAAUAAGUCUCGGCUAACUACGUGC
Molecule: ribosomal RNA, 470 nt
Filed under: uncultured bacterium
Lineage: Bacteria
Description: bacterial SSU rRNA
Rfam family: Bacterial small subunit ribosomal RNA
Source: RNAcentral